This is a long non-coding RNA of Oncorhynchus keta (chum salmon), 1741 nucleotides long. RefSeq lists it as uncharacterized. The record is from RefSeq and is a predicted model, not a curated record. The transcript is spliced from 5 exons. Lineage: Eukaryota; Metazoa; Chordata; Actinopteri; Salmoniformes; Salmonidae.
GAAUAAUAGGCCAUGUAUUAUUUUUCCAAGGUGAUUACUCCAACACUGGUCGUGGGCAUGCUCGAGGGGUUGGUGGCAACAAGACUGAAGGUGGAAUAUGCCUACUACAGUUUUGUUUGGGAACCUUAGGCUCUUCAUCCAUACAUAGGGCCAUCAGGGGGUGUUGUGCUCUGUUGACGAUGAGGGGGAUCUGCGUUUGUCUUUUCUUUUUUAAAUCUGCCCAAACUUCUGUUUUUCUUACAGGCUCGUACACAUCAGCGCGGUUGUACAUGAUGGUUGAAUGUUGAUGUACUGUACGGUCUUGACUCAAUAAAGUGUUUUUUCUCUCUCUAUCUCUCUCUCCUCCCUUCCUUCUCCCCAUUUCAUCUAUCUCUGUCUGGUGAGGGCUUUUCAGUUGUACCAACACAGUAUAUCACCACAAGCUAGGGGUCCAACCCAGUGUUGGCAAACACUUCCAUUUCUUCCCCAUGAAACUUUUUCAAAAGGAAGAAAUCAUCAAUCCAGUCCUACAAUUGCUCAGUGCCCUCUAUCUGACCCUGAGGCAUCAAUUUUAAAUGGAUUUUUUAAAAAUUGUUGGACAUAAGACUGUAAAAACACCAGGAAAUCAGCUCCAAGUGAUUUUAAUUUUGGAAAUCCUCCCAAGUAUUCCCACGCAUAAUAGAGAGACGUGAUCGUGUACAAAUGUUAGCAAGGUUAGAAAUGAUUAUGUUUCAGUCAAAUAUUCUAUCUGUUUGUCUACGCGGCUGAAUCUCGUUGAUAAUCCCUGGGCCAGAUUCUCUUCUGAACAACGAGAUCAGUGAGCAAGGAAACCCAAACACGACACCGCCUUCUUUUACAAACCUCUCAGCGCCGCACCCCGCAGCACAGCGGAAGCCUGCUUACUUGUUUGAUGCAUGCUUAAACCAACAUCCAAACGGCAUAGUUUGAUUUCUUUGAACUGUGCUUCUGCUGCUCAGAUCAUGCUUCUACGCUACAGUCGAGAUGAUGGGGCCUACCACCUGCAAUGUCAUAACCGAGGAUGGCACCGUGGUGAGACUUCAAAGGGCUCGAGUGCUGCAGCGGGGCUCCCGGUGGCGUUCUAAGGCAUCUCAGUGCUCGAGUGCUGCAGCGGGGCUCCCGGUGGCGUUCUAAGGCAUCUCAGUGCUCGAAGCAUCACUACGAGACAAUGGUUCCAUUCCAAGCUGUAUCACAACCAGAUGUGAUUGGAAGUCCCAUAGAGCGGCGCACAAUUGGCCCAGCGUUGUUCAUGUUAGGGUUUGGCCGGGAAAUUGGAGACAAUUCAAUGGAUAUGAAAAUCAACAGAGGUAAACAGACGAGGAGGCAUGCAAAGAUUUCACCUCUGAUGAAUAUAACAGGAAAGCUGUUUGAUCACCAUGCACUGCAAAAUCAUUCUGUCUAUGGAUACGGAGAACAUCAACACAUUAACAUCAACACGCCAGAAGAUAAACCCAUUGGACUUGGGGCUCUGCUGGGAGUUUACCUCAUAUUUAGAAUAGUUUAUUCUGCUUUGCCACUAAAAUCAUAAUAAACACUGACAAUUCAAACAUGGCGUUAUUGUUAAAGCUAUGACGAAUUCUCAUUACUAAGAAAGUGGAAAUAAUGCAGAAUCUUGGUGUUUAGUAUUGAUCAAUGUUACUCCUCAUCUCUCCACUAUGAUCGUAGAUGUGAGGUGAGUGUUUGGUUGCAAAAUGGUGCUACACAUUGGAGGCAGAGGAGGUUGGCACUUUGAGAUGUAAGUGAA